CAAAAAAUAAAAACAAAAAACAAGAUAGCCAAAACUAUUCUGAAUAAGAGGAUUUCUGGAGGAAUCACCAUCUCUAACCUCCAGCUGUGUUACAGAGUACACAGGGAUGGACCUAUGGCUCCAUCCACAUACGUAGCAGAAGAUGGCCUUGUCAGGCAUCAGUGGGAAGAGAGGCCCUUGGUCCUGUCAAGGCUCCAUGCCCCAGUGUAGGGGAAUGUCAAGAUGGGGAAGUGGCAGGGAGUGGAUGGGUGGGUGAGGGACCAUCCUCAUAGAAGCAGGGGGAGGGAGAUAGUGGGUUUCUGGAGGGGAAACCAGGAAAGGGGAUAACAUUUAAAAUGUAAAUAAAAAAA
This 350-nucleotide long non-coding RNA is filed under the name Rattus norvegicus (Norway rat). Its description in RNAcentral is "long non-coding RNA NONRATT028389". Lineage: Eukaryota; Metazoa; Chordata; Mammalia; Rodentia; Muridae. The record is from RNAcentral.